Molecule: ribosomal RNA, 442 nt
Filed under: uncultured bacterium
Lineage: Bacteria
Description: partial 16S ribosomal RNA
Rfam family: Bacterial small subunit ribosomal RNA
Source: RNAcentral
CCUACGGGCGGCAGCAGUAGGGAAUCUUUCACAAUGGGCGAAAGCCUGAUGGAGCAACGCCGCGUGCAGGAUGAAGGCCUUCGGGUUGUAAACUGCUUUUAUCAGCGAGAAAUAUGAUGGUAACUUAUGAAUAAGGAUCGGCUAACUACGUGCCAGCAGCCGCGGUCAUACGUAGGAUCCGAGCAUUAUCCGGAGUGACUGGGUGUAAAGAGUUGCGUAGGUGGCAUAAUAAGUAGCUAGUGAAAUCUGGUGGCUCAACCAUUCAGACUAUUAGCUAAACUGUUAAGCUCGAGACCGUUAGGGGUAACUGGAAUUUCUAGUGUAGGAGUGAAAUCCGUAGAUAUUAGAAGGAACACCAAUAGCGUAGGCAGGUUGCUGGGACGGUUCUGACACUAAGGCACGAAAGCGUAGGGAGCAAACGGGAUUAGAUACCCCUGUAGUC